RNAcentral lists this ribosomal RNA (492 nucleotides) under uncultured bacterium. RNAcentral describes it as "partial 16S ribosomal RNA". It matches the Rfam family "Bacterial small subunit ribosomal RNA", at positions 30 to 507 of the family's 1533-position model. The record is from RNAcentral.
AGUGAACGCUGGCGGUAGGCCUAACACAUGCAAGUCGAACGGCAGCACAGUAAGAGCUUGCUCUUACGGGUGGCGAGUGGCGGACGGGUGAGGAAUACAUCGGAAUCUACUUUUUCGUGGGGGAUAACGUAGGGAAACUUACGCUAAUACCGCAUACGACCUACGGGUGAAAGCAGGGGAUCUUCGGACCUUGCGCGAUUGAAUGAGCCGAUGUCGGAUUAGCUAGUUGGCGGGGUAAAGGCCCACCAAGGCGAAGAUCCGUAGCUGGUCUGAGAGGAUGAACAGCAGCAGUGGAACUGAGACACGGUGCAGAGCACGACGGGAGGACGCAGUGGGGAAGAUGGGAGAAGGGGGGCAGGUCUGAUCAAGCUAUACGGCGGAGGUAAAGAAGGCCUGCGGGUUGCAAAGCCCUUUGGUUGAGAAAGAAAACUUUCAGGCUAAUACCCUGGGAGGAUGACGGGAGCAAAAGAAUAAGCACCGACUAACUUGGUG